RNAcentral lists this ribosomal RNA (422 nucleotides) under uncultured cyanobacterium. Its description in RNAcentral is "bacterial SSU rRNA". It matches the Rfam family "Bacterial small subunit ribosomal RNA", at positions 358 to 795 of the family's 1533-position model. Lineage: Bacteria; Bacillati; Cyanobacteriota. The record is from RNAcentral.
GGAAUUUUCCGCAAUGGGCGAAAGCCUGACGGAGCAACGCCGCGUGAGGGAUGAAGGCCUCUGGGCUGUAAACCUCUUUUAUCAAGGAAGAAGAUCUGACGGUACUUGAUGAAUAAGCCACGGCUAAUUCCGUGCCAGCAGCCGCGGUAAUACGGGAGUGGCAAGCGUUAUCCGGAAUUAUUGGGCGUAAAGCGUCCGCAGGCGGUCUUGUAAGUCUGUCGUUAAAGCGUGGAGCUUAACUCCAUUUCAGCGAUGGAAACUGUAAGACUAGAGUGUGGUAGGGGCAGAGGGAAUUCCCGGUGUAGCGGUGAAAUGCGUAGAUAUCGGGAAGAACACCAGUGGCGAAGGCGCUCUGCUGGGCCAUAACUGACGCUCAUGGACGAAAGCCAGGGGAGCGAAAGGGAUUAGAUACCCCAGUAGUC